UAUCAUAUUCUAUGAAGUUUGCUUGAAAAUGCACCAGGUACUUGAUUAUGGAAGGUAAAAUAGAAUUUCCAACAAGAAAGUCCUAACAACUCUAACACAAUUUUAAAUAAGCUCUAAUUCAAUUUUAACAAUGAUAAUUAAUCUUUAAUCAAUUUAAAAGAAGUCUUAAAGAAAUUUCAAAAGAAACAUAAUAAAAUUAUAAAUUAUCCUUAAAGAAAUAUAUAUAAGAAAAAAAUCCUAAAAAAAUAUCAUUUUUUUAAAUAUUAAAAAUAUAGACUUUAAAUAAAUUCUAACCAAAUUCUAAUAUAAUCCUAAAUAACUUCUAACCAAAUUCUAAUGAAAUCUUAAACCAAUUCUAACCAAAACCUAACCAAAUCCUAACCAUAUCCUAAUGAAAUCCCAAACCAAUCCUAGCCAAAUUCGAAUAUAAUUUUAAACCAAUCUUAAAAAGUUUCUAAAUUCUAAUCAAAUUCUAAUAUAAUUCUAAAUCAAUCCUAAUAAGAUCCUCAAUCAUAAUCAAAUCCUACUAAAAUCCAAAUCAAAUCCUAAUCAAAGCCUAAUAAAAUCCUAAAGAUCCUA
Molecule: long non-coding RNA, 579 nt
Filed under: Physcomitrium patens
Lineage: Eukaryota; Viridiplantae; Streptophyta; Bryopsida; Funariales; Funariaceae
Description: long non-coding RNA (PPAT_LNC011649)
Source: RNAcentral